Molecule: ribosomal RNA, 499 nt
Filed under: Trypanosoma cruzi
Lineage: Eukaryota; Euglenozoa; Kinetoplastea; Trypanosomatida; Trypanosomatidae
Description: partial small subunit ribosomal RNA
Rfam family: Eukaryotic small subunit ribosomal RNA (bases 202-499)
Source: RNAcentral
UKGGGGAGUUUUUGGUCGUAGGCGUGGUCGGGCUUGAUUAUAUUWUUUUUCAUCCCGUUCCUCGUCUCGCCAAUGAAUAUAUUAAAUUUACGUGCAUAUUCUUUUUGGUSUUCGUCUUUUUASGGCGAGGACCUUUAACGGGAAUAUCCUCAGCWCKUUAUYUGACUUMUUCACGCGAAAGCUUUGAGGUUACAGUYUCAGGGGGGAGUACSUUCGCAAGAGUGAAACUUAAAGAAAUUGACGGAAUGGCACCACAAKACGUGGAGCKUGSGGUUUAAUUKGACUCAACACGGGGAACUUUACCAGAUCCGRACAGGGUGAGGAUUGACAGAUUGAGUGUUCUUUCUCGAUCCCCKGAAUGGUGGUGCAUGSCCGCUUUUGGUCGGUGGAGUGAUUUGUUUGGUUGAUUCCGUCAACGGACGAGAUCCAAGCUGCCCAGUAGGAUUCAGAAUUGCCCAUAGGAUAGCAAUCCCUUCCGCGGGUUUUACCCAAGGGGGGG